CAGUAGCCGCGGGAAUACGUAGGUGGCAAGCGUUGUCCGGAAUUAUUGGGCGUAAAGGGCUCGCAGGCGGUUUCUUAAGUCUGAUGUGAAAGCCCCCGGCUCAACCGGGGAGGGUCAUUGGAAACUGGGAAACUUGAGUGCAGAAGAGGAGAGUGGAAUUCCACGUGUAGCGGUGAAAUGCGUAGAGAUGUGGAGGAACGCCAGUGGCGAAGGCGACUCCCUGGUCUGUAACUGACGCUGAGGAGCGAAAGCGUGGGGAGCGAACAGGAUUAGAGACCCCCGUAGUCCCUGUCUCUUAUAC
Molecule: ribosomal RNA, 301 nt
Filed under: uncultured bacterium
Lineage: Bacteria
Description: partial 16S ribosomal RNA
Rfam family: Bacterial small subunit ribosomal RNA
Source: RNAcentral